RNAcentral lists this transfer RNA (867 nucleotides) under Sphingomonas sp. Its description in RNAcentral is "partial contains 16S ribosomal RNA, 16S-23S ribosomal RNA intergenic spacer, and 23S ribosomal RNA". The stretch from base 184 to 257 matches the Rfam family "tRNA". Lineage: Bacteria; Pseudomonadati; Pseudomonadota; Alphaproteobacteria; Sphingomonadales; Sphingomonadaceae. The record is from RNAcentral.
UCCUUUCUAAGGAUAUCGGCGGAAAGCGCCCUGAUACUUCGGUAUCGGGAAGAGCUUCCUCCAUUCCAAAGAACAUUUGCCGCCGUCCUCAUGUCCCUUCAUCAACUGGUCCACAGCCGCAAGGUUGUGGUAGCCUGAGUGGCUCACGCCGCCCGCGGCCCUUGUGGCCGGUCGGGUUUGAGUGGGCCUGUAGCUCAGUUGGUUAGAGCGCACCCCUGAUAAGGGUGAGGUCGGUGGUUCGAAUCCACCCAGGCCCACCAGCAUUUUGGCGUAAUGGGGCCUUAGCUCAGCUGGGAGAGCGGUUGCUUUGCAAGCAUCAGGUCAUCGGUUCGAUCCCGAUAGGCUCCACCAAAUCGCAGGAAGAAAGACGCAGUAGCGAAGCUACAGCGCACUCUUCCAAGAUCAGCCAGCGCUGCAAAGCGCGCCCAUAAGGCGCAGCUUGGCUGCGACUGACGGGUGCGCGACAGGGCAAGACGCUCGACCAAAACAUCCAGAUGAUGAAGAGAAACGGUUCCGCUUCGGCGGAAAUUGAGGAGUACGCUCCUCGUAUUUGACAUUGUGAAUGGGUUCUUAAAAUCGAUGCCGUAAAUACGGCGCAUCGGUUUGAACGACGAGAUCGAGAAGGUUCGCCUUCGGAAUCGGAUUGGACAGAUCGUGUGCGUCGCUAGAUUAUUAGGCUGAGCAUUUUAAUCAUCCGCACCAAGAUACUGUGACUUCGCUGCUCUGCCGAGUUUUGGUUGGUCGAAAGAUCAACCCAGCGUUGUCGUUGGUGGUGCGGACUCUCAAGCGUAAGGUAAGGGCAAUUCGUGGAUGCCUUGGCGCAUACAGGCGAUGAAGGACGUGGCACGCUGCGAUAAGCGUCGGUGA